GUGCAGGGGGGACAGGUGGUAGAGUCAAGCUUCUUUCCUCCCCCACUGCUUCCACACUACUGGACCCCUGCCACUUGCCCGCUUUACCUGUCCCCUACUGCUCCCUCCCCUGCCUGCCCCCUUACUGCCUCCCCUACUGUCUGUCUUCCCCACCACCUGUCCCAUUACAGCCCCCCUCAUCACCUCUCCCCCCACUACCUGCAGCAGUGGGGGGGAUGAAUUUAAGAUGAUCCUGCAAUAAUUAGAUUCUAUACAUGGAAAAUUGUAAUAAAUUUUAUACAUUUUUUGUGUAUAGAAUCUAAUUAUUGGGGGUUAUCUUAAAUUCAGACGCAUCUUGUAUUUGGGUAAAUAUGGCAAGUACUCUCUAAGAUGUUUAGUGGUCUCAUGGACUAUAUCUAGGAGCAGGAAAGGGUUGUUCUAUUCAAGGCUCUCUCACUGCCACCUUAUGUGUGACCUCGAAUGAGUUCUUUAACCUCUGUGUUUCUCAUCUUGAUCUGUCAGUUGGGGUUGAAGUUGCCUAACUAUCAACAGAGAUUCAACCAGUCUGUGUUUGCAUGGAGUUUUGAAGAGGUACAAUGCUACAACAGUAUGCGUAUCAAUAUUAUUUUAUGGUCUGUAAUUUCAUCAUAUAUGUGGAGGAUGAUUCAAGCCAUUCUGGAAAAACAGUGCAAAAAUAUUACACCAGCAGAUACUAUUCUGUAGGGAACAGUUACUCAAUUUCUGAAGAUAUAAAGUUCUCUUCAGAACCAAUAUGGAUGAAUUGAUGCUUUGUUGUGUGACAAGUUUCCAAAAGUCCUUGUGUAUAUCAGCCCUUAAAAGUCACAUUAAAGCAAUGUACUGAAUGUGCAACACAUAGUGCAACUGCAUUUUUUUUUUUAAACUACAGCAGCAUUAAAGCAGCACAACUUCCUCUGCUAAAAUACACAGUUCACAGUAAAGCUCAACAGGUAAAGUCACCGUGGAGAACGAAUGCACCAAUAUCUGUUAACUGAAUUCACUGGGACGGAUCCUGCUACUCAUACAUUCAUAUUUGAAGUACCUGAAAAUGGAUUGAGAGCUGAACCAAUUUUCAGACCAACUGAAUUCAAGGAAGCCUGGGGGUACCAUGAUCUCUGAAAAUCAGGUUGCUUCUAUUAGGUGCCUAUCCACAAAUUAAUGUUAAUCUAAUUAAUUCUAAUGUUAAGUCCAAGGUUUGAUAUUGUUGGUAAUGCUUUAUAGUAAUAAACUGAAAAUUUAGAAAACAAGGAGUUUACUUCUAUGUCUGUAGCAAACAUGUUGCUAGUGUGAGAGUCUGUCUAUGUGUACAGAAUAAUGAGAGUGCAUACACAUUUUUAGAGGGGUUUUUUGAGUUGUUUGAUACGCAUUUCAUUCAAAAUGUUUUGCUCUUUACAUGCCAUGUUUAGUAAGGUAUGAAACAGGACUAAACUCUCCCAUGAUCUACAACACCUGCUACUUUCAAUGGGGUUCAUUAAACCUUGUGCUCUGUAUAUUUAUGUUAUUUAGUAAUUAUAUAAGUGCAUAUCUACCCUGCCUUUGGGCAGAAUCUGGGUAGUAGUAAAACUAUAGCAGAGAAAUAAUUUAUAUGAAACAAAAAAAAUAAAAAGGUAACUCAUUUGCUUGCCUCA
Alligator mississippiensis (American alligator) is the source of this 1625-nucleotide long non-coding RNA. RefSeq lists it as uncharacterized. NCBI's taxonomy places the organism in Eukaryota, Metazoa, Chordata, Crocodylia, Alligatoridae. The record is from RefSeq and is a predicted model, not a curated record. The transcript is spliced from 2 exons.